UUAAAGUUGUUGCGGUUAAAAGCUCGUAGUUGGAUUUCUGUCGAGGGCGAUCGGUCCGCACUAUGUGCGUGUAUCUGUUAUCUCUUGGCAUCCUCUUGGGGAACGUUUCUGCGCUUGAUUGCGUGGGGCGGAAUUCAAGACUUUUACUUUGAGGAAAUUAGAGUGUUCACGGCAAGCUAUCGCUUUGAAUACAUUAGCAUGGAAUAAUAAUAUAGGGCGUAAGCUUUAUUUUGUUGGUUUCUAGAGCAUACGCAAUGAUUAAUAGGGAUAAUUGGGGGCAUUCGUAUUGAUGCGUCAGAGGUGGAAUUCUUUUUUUGCAUCACGACGAACUACUGCGAAAGCAUUUGCCAAGGAUGUUUUCAUUGAUCMAGAACGAAAGUAUGGGGAUCGAAGACGAUUAGAUACCGUCGUAGUCUAUACCAUAAACUAUGCCGACUAAAGAUUGGGCGUCGUUCUUUUUAUGACUCGCUCAGCAUUUUAUGAGAAAUCAAAGUUUUUGGGUUC
Molecule: ribosomal RNA, 504 nt
Filed under: uncultured Syndiniales
Lineage: Eukaryota; Dinophyceae; Syndiniales
Description: SSU rRNA
Rfam family: Eukaryotic small subunit ribosomal RNA
Source: RNAcentral